CGCUCAACGGAACCCACUGGAUAUGUGGAACCAACCUGUGGCCCUGGCUUCCUCCAGGGUGGAUAGGUCGCUGUACUUUAGGAUUUGCCUGGAUCCAUGGGCGCAUUACUAAAACCAUUACAACUCCAGCUAAUCUCCCCAACUUGAAACAAAGAUGGACACAAUCUGUUUUUAAAUGGUAUGAUCACUUAGCAUCCAUUUUUGUUCCAUCUGCGGGACUAGAGGAUGUCAUGUGGCAUGUAGAAGCCCUUAAUAAAUAUACUACAAAGGCCCUACAAGAUCCUUCUUUCUCUUUUAGUGAUUGGUUAAGUUCCUGGCUUGGAGGAGGGCUAUGGCAAAAUUUCCUUUUCGGGCUUCUUAUUCUUAUCGCCUUAUUAAUCUUAAUAUGUUGCUUUGUUCCAUGUUUCUCUACUUGGUGCCGAGACUCCAUUGCUACAAUGACUACACCACAGCAGACGAUCCUUGUCGCGCGCGAGGACGCCUCUUCACUGUCAGCGCUGGAUUCAGCUGCCUCCACCUUUCGUAACUCCCCUAUACGUUCCUACCCUGAUCAAUAUUGACCCGAGCAGGUAGGGACAGCUCUACGCCCCUAUUCAGCACGAAGAAGUUACAGAAGAUGAGACCUUCCACCUUCAACCACCUUAAAGAUUUAAGGGUCAAAAUUGUUCAGGGGGGAAUGAUGAGGGAGCAGGAGGCUGGCUGAGGACAAAGCAAAAGCUGGCGCCUUGCACCCCCUCUUCACCCACUCCCCUCCAUAUGUGUAGCAUUCCUCAGGCACCCCUGACUUCCAUAAAACGAUAAAUAGUUAACUUGCAGGGAUCGCAAUCCUGCAGAACAGGAAUAUCCCUUGUCCUACAAGAUGUCCUAGAGACCUAAACAGGGAGGUUACCUUAUCAAUAGCACAAAUUUCCAGAGGCAAAUAACUCUUGGUUCCUGAAGCCCUAAUGUCCCCC
RNAcentral lists this long non-coding RNA (953 nucleotides) under Mustela putorius furo (domestic ferret). RNAcentral's name for it is "lncRNA (ENSMPUG00000027905.1)". The record is from RNAcentral. Lineage: Eukaryota; Metazoa; Chordata; Mammalia; Carnivora; Mustelidae.